Molecule: long non-coding RNA, 600 nt
Filed under: Equus caballus (horse)
Lineage: Eukaryota; Metazoa; Chordata; Mammalia; Perissodactyla; Equidae
Description: lncRNA (ENSECAG00000049134.1)
Source: RNAcentral
CAGAAUGUCUCUAAGCCGAGCUGACAAAGGCAGCAAGACUGGAAGCAGUCCACUCACUCUGUUCAAUAUCCACCAGUUCCUGCUGCAAGUGACUUGGGGGCAAACACUUCUGAGUAGCACUAGCCAGAUCCUUUCACUGCUUCCUCUACAUUCUGUUUCUUUUCCUAAUGCUAAGGAUGCUCUAAUUUUCCAUUUUGGAAGCACCACUGAUGUAUCUGGAAGUCUUAGACCCACUAAUGCUUUCAUACUUCAAUUGGAGACUUCUUUUUAACCUCCUCCCUCAGUGACUUGAUUAUGAAAUCUUCUAUUGAUUCUUCAUCAACUUGAUGAUGGCUGUCUAAUCUCUUUGUUCUUUCCCUUUUUAAUUUCAGAAGUACCUCAGAGACCAGUCCUGUCUGACAUGUCGCUUGCCCCAAGAAAGACAGCCAUUCUGAAAAAAAAAAAAAAAAGAAUUUUUCUAGAUGCUUCAGUUUCAGAUAAAUUCCUUAAAUGUGGCUGGUGACUUUGACAGUUAUGGUAGUAAUGAUGACUACAAGAACUGUGGCAGAGGGUGACUUUCUUUCAAUGUACUGGAGCAUCAACAGAAAGAAAAUGAAAAGG